UACGGGGGGGGCAAGCGUUGUUCGGAAUUACUGGGCGUAAAGGGCUCGUAGGCGGCCAACUAAGUCAGACGUGAAAUCCCUCGGCUUAACCGGGGAACUGCGUCUGAUACUGGAUGGCUAGAGAUUGGGAGAGGGAUGCGGAAUUCCAGGUGUAGCGGUGAAAUGCGUAGAUAUCUGGAGGAACACCGGUGGCGAAGGCAGCAUCCUGGGCCAACACUGACGCUGAGGAGCGAAAGCCAGGGGAGCAAACGGG
Molecule: ribosomal RNA, 253 nt
Filed under: uncultured bacterium
Lineage: Bacteria
Description: partial 16S ribosomal RNA
Rfam family: Bacterial small subunit ribosomal RNA
Source: RNAcentral